AAAGAAGAAUGCAUCAGAUAGAGUUAAGCAAAAUUUCGUGGUUUGGGCGGCCCUGGCCAGUUAAUGGGAUCAAAUGCUUGGUUGACUGAUUGAUUAUUUAUGCAGAAAUCAUCAUUAUGAUAAGAAAAAAGAAGUCGACUCAAAGGUUCCAACCUAAGAAUCAAAUAGAGAUGCAUUUCUGUCGUUUGCAUCUUUGCACCUGACUGUGCUCAUUUCAAGAAUCAACACUGCCUUUGGAAGAUAAAGUAAGUAGUUGAAGAAUAAUGUC
RNAcentral lists this long non-coding RNA (268 nucleotides) under Felis catus (domestic cat). RNAcentral's name for it is "lncRNA (ENSFCAG00000053337.1)". Lineage: Eukaryota; Metazoa; Chordata; Mammalia; Carnivora; Felidae. The record is from RNAcentral.